AGAGUUUGAUCAUGGCUCAGAACGAACGCUGGCGGCAGGCUUAACACAUGCAAGUCGAACGCUCGUAGCAAUACGGGAGUGGCGGACGGGUGAGUAACGCGUGGGAACGUGCCCUGAGGUACGGAAUAACUGAGGGAAACUUCAGCUAAUACCGUAUGAGCCCCGAGAGGGGGAAAGAUUUAUCGCCUUGGGGAGCGGCCCGCGUCGGAUUAGCUAGUUGGUGGGGUAACGGCCUACCAAGGCUUCGAUCCGUAGCCGGUCUGAGAGGACGAUCAGCCACACUGGGACUGAGACACGGCCCAGACUCCUACGGGAGGCAGCAGUGGGGAAUCUUGCGCAAUGGGGGCAACCCUGACGCAGCCAUGCCGCGUGAACGAUGAAGGCCUUAGGGUUGUAAAGUUCUUUUACCCGUGACGAUGAUGACGGUAACGGGGGAAUAAGCUCCGGCUAACUUCGUG
This 458-nucleotide ribosomal RNA is filed under the name uncultured bacterium. RNAcentral describes it as "bacterial SSU rRNA". It matches the Rfam family "Bacterial small subunit ribosomal RNA", at positions 8 to 507 of the family's 1533-position model. The record is from RNAcentral.